Molecule: ribosomal RNA, 1376 nt
Filed under: Lactiplantibacillus plantarum
Lineage: Bacteria; Bacillati; Bacillota; Bacilli; Lactobacillales; Lactobacillaceae
Description: bacterial SSU rRNA
Rfam family: Bacterial small subunit ribosomal RNA
Source: RNAcentral
AUUGGUGCUUGCAUCAUGAUUUACAUUUGAGUGAGUGGCGAACUGGUGAGUAACACGUGGGAAACCUGCCCAGAAGCGGGGGAUAACACCUGGAAACAGAUGCUAAUACCGCAUAACAACUUGGACCGCAUGGUCCGAGCUUGAAAGAUGGCUUCGGCUAUCACUUUUGGAUGGUCCCGCGGCGUAUUAGCUAGAUGGUGGGGUAACGGCUCACCAUGGCAAUGAUACGUAGCCGACCUGAGAGGGUAAUCGGCCACAUUGGGACUGAGACACGGCCCAAACUCCUACGGGAGGCAGCAGUAGGGAAUCUUCCACAAUGGACGAAAGUCUGAUGGAGCAACGCCGCGUGAGUGAAGAAGGGUUUCGGCUCGUAAAACUCUGUUGUUAAAGAAGAACAUAUCUGAGAGUAACUGUUCAGGUAUUGACGGUAUUUAACCAGAAAGCCACGGCUAACUACGUGCCAGCAGCCGCGGUAAUACGUAGGUGGCAAGCGUUGUCCGGAUUUAUUGGGCGUAAAGCGAGCGCAGGCGGUUUUUUAAGUCUGAUGUGAAAGCCUUCGGCUCAACCGAAGAAGUGCAUCGGAAACUGGGAAACUUGAGUGCAGAAGAGGACAGUGGAACUCCAUGUGUAGCGGUGAAAUGCGUAGAUAUAUGGAAGAACACCAGUGGCGAAGGCGGCUGUCUGGUCUGUAACUGACGCUGAGGCUCGAAAGUAUGGGUAGCAAACAGGAUUAGAUACCCUGGUAGUCCAUACCGUAAACGAUGAAUGCUAAGUGUUGGAGGGUUUCCGCCCUUCAGUGCUGCAGCUAACGCAUUAAGCAUUCCGCCUGGGGAGUACGGCCGCAAGGCUGAAACUCAAAGGAAUUGACGGGGGCCCGCACAAGCGGUGGAGCAUGUGGUUUAAUUCGAAGCUACGCGAAGAACCUUACCAGGUCUUGACAUACUAUGCAAAUCUAAGAGAUUAGACGUUCCCUUCGGGGACAUGGAUACAGGUGGUGCAUGGUUGUCGUCAGCUCGUGUCGUGAGAUGUUGGGUUAAGUCCCGCAACGAGCGCAACCCUUAUUAUCAGUUGCCAGCAUUAAGUUGGGCACUCUGGUGAGACUGCCGGUGACAAACCGGAGGAAGGUGGGGAUGACGUCAAAUCAUCAUGCCCCUUAUGACCUGGGCUACACACGUGCUACAAUGGAUGGUACAACGAGUUGCGAACUCGCGAGAGUAAGCUAAUCUCUUAAAGCCAUUCUCAGUUCGGAUUGUAGGCUGCAACUCGCCUACAUGAAGUCGGAAUCGCUAGUAAUCGCGGAUCAGCAUGCCGCGGUGAAUACGUUCCCGGGCCUUGUACACACCGCCCGUCACACCAUGAGAGUUUGUAACACCCAA